This 600-nucleotide ribosomal RNA is filed under the name uncultured Alphaproteobacteria bacterium. Its description in RNAcentral is "bacterial SSU rRNA". It matches the Rfam family "Bacterial small subunit ribosomal RNA", at positions 54 to 700 of the family's 1533-position model. Lineage: Bacteria; Pseudomonadati; Pseudomonadota; Alphaproteobacteria. The record is from RNAcentral.
CAUGCAAGUCGAACGCAGUAGCAAUACUGAGUGGCAAACGGGUGAGUAUAAUGUGGGAAUCUGCCUUUUGGUUUGGAAUAACACGGGGAAACUUGUGCUAAUACCGAAUAAGCCCUUACGGGGAAAGUUUUAAUGCCGAAAGAUGAGCCCGCACUUGAUUAGCUAGUUGGUAAGGUAAAAGCUUACCAAGGCAACGAUCAAUAGCUGUUCUUAGAGGAAGACCAGCCACAUUGGGACUGAGACACGGCCCAGACUCCUACGGGAGGCAGCAGUGGGGAAUCUUGCACAAUGGGGGAAACCCUGAUGCAGCGAUGCCGCGUGAGUGAAGAAGGCCCUUGGGUUGUAAAACUCUUUCGUCGGGGAAGAAAAUGACUGUACCCGAAUAAGAAGGUCCGGCUAACUUCGUGCCAGCAGCCGCGGUAAUACGAAGGGACCUAGCGUAGUUCGGAAUUACUGGGCUUAAAGAGCUCGUAGGUGGUUAAAAAAGUUGGUGGUGAAAUCCCAAGGCUCAACCUUGGAACUGCCAUCAAAACUUUUUAGCUAGAGUGUGAUAGAGGUAAGUGGAAUUUCUAGUGUAGAGGUGAAAUUCGUAGAUAUUAG